UUCAGCAGGGCCGUUGCGUGACAGGGCCGGAGAGGGCCGGAGCACAGGAUGUGAGAGACGGCGAUGGUGGUUUGGUGGGGCCGAGGCUGGUUUGUGGAGGGUUGUAACCUGAGCCUGGUCACAAACCCGGACUGGCGUCCUUAGAUGACCCCAGACCCCAGGCAAAUCUGAGAGGAGAGGUCCUUGGAGAAGGAAAACCCGGGAAAGCCUGCGGAUCCGUAUGUGGGCACAUCUACGCCUAUCCAAUCAAACCACGCCAGCGCCCACCUCCCAUCUCCGCAGAAUUUCCCUUCUCACUUCGGGGAGACAGAUUUGAGCCUGGCCUCCAGUGACCUUGCUGCUCCACUUUGCAAUAAAGCUUUCUUUUCUCAAAAGCCCAGGCGUCAUUGUAGUGGCUCUUGUGCGCCGGGCAGCGAGCUCUUUCUUGGUAACAGAAACUGAGACAGGGAAACCGCCACCGCCUUGGGUCGGGUCUCUCACUGCUUGUGGGCGGUGAGGGGCACCCACGCUCAGGACCCCGACAUUUCCCUCAAGACUGUGUCUUGUGGAGGACCCCCCCCCCGCACAUCCAUGCUUUCCCACACCCCUGGAGCUAGAAGGCAGCUAGUCUCCCCCUUGUUUCCUUAUUUCGCCCUGACCGUGGGCUCAACCCAUGGACCCUUUCUGCCUAUCUGGUUUCAAA
Choloepus didactylus (southern two-toed sloth) is the source of this 682-nucleotide long non-coding RNA. RefSeq lists it as uncharacterized. The transcript is spliced from 2 exons. Lineage: Eukaryota; Metazoa; Chordata; Mammalia; Pilosa; Megalonychidae. The record is from RefSeq and is a predicted model, not a curated record.